UUAAAAGGCAGCUAGUGAUGGUUUUCAUCC
This 30-nucleotide non-coding RNA is filed under the name Rattus norvegicus (Norway rat). Lineage: Eukaryota; Metazoa; Chordata; Mammalia; Rodentia; Muridae. The record is from RNAcentral.